RNAcentral lists this ribosomal RNA (430 nucleotides) under Chloroflexota bacterium. RNAcentral's name for it is "Chloroflexi bacterium partial 16S ribosomal RNA". It matches the Rfam family "Bacterial small subunit ribosomal RNA", at positions 355 to 777 of the family's 1533-position model. The record is from RNAcentral. Lineage: Bacteria; Bacillati; Chloroflexota.
UGGGGAAUAUUGCACAAUGGGCGCAAGCCUGAUGCAGCCAUGCCGCGUGUGUGAAGAAGGCCUUCGGGUUGUAAAGCACUUUCAGCGGGGAGGAAGGCGUUAAGGUUAAUAACCUUGGCGAUUGACGUUACCCGCAGAAGAAGCACCGGCUAACUCCGUGCCAGCAGCCGCGGUAAUACGGAGGGUGCAAGCGUUAAUCGGAAUUACUGGGCGUAAAGCGCACGCAGGCGGUCUGUCAAGUCGGAUGUGAAAUCCCCGGGCUCAACCUGGGAAAUGCAUUCGAAACUGGCAGGCUAGAGUCUUGUAGAGGGGGGUAGAAUUCCAGGUGUAGCGGUGAAAUGCGUAGAGAUCUGGAGGAAUACCGGUGGCGAAGGCGGCCCCCUGGACAAAGACUGACGCUCAGGUGCGAAAGCGUGGGGAGCAAACAGGA